GGUGAAUACGUUCCCGGGCCUUGUACACACCGCCCGUCACACCAUGAGAGUUUGUAACACCCAAAGUCGGUGGGGUAACCUUUUAGGAACCAGCCGCCUAAGGUGGGACAGAUGAUUAGGGUGAAGUCGUAACAAGGUAGCCGUAGGAGAACCUGCGGCUGGAUCACCUCCUUUCUAAGGAA
This 182-nucleotide ribosomal RNA is filed under the name Lactiplantibacillus plantarum. Its description in RNAcentral is "Lactobacillus plantarum partial 16S ribosomal RNA". It matches the Rfam family "Bacterial small subunit ribosomal RNA", at positions 1361 to 1533 of the family's 1533-position model. The record is from RNAcentral. Lineage: Bacteria; Bacillati; Bacillota; Bacilli; Lactobacillales; Lactobacillaceae.